AGGCUGAGGGUGGUGAGACUGGUGGGGGGAGGCUCCCACCCCCCACCAGCCUCACCACCCUCAGCCUCCCCCCACCAG
RNAcentral lists this microRNA precursor (78 nucleotides) under Pelobates cultripes (western spadefoot toad). Lineage: Eukaryota; Metazoa; Chordata; Amphibia; Anura; Pelobatidae. The record is from RNAcentral.